UUCGUUAAUGUUCAUGUUCAACAAAUCUCAACAAAAUAUGAACGAUCAGAAAAGUCCCUGUCAUUUUCCUUCAGUGCUGGUGCAACUUCAAAUUUUGUUGUUAAAUCAGCUGAUUUGUUGAUAGAAUUCUACUUCUUCUGUAUUACUUUUUGCUUUUUCGCAAUAGUCUUCUCUAUUACAUUUUUCGCAUGCCUCUUACCUAUAACCCAAGCCACCAAACUCGUAAACUGUUUAAACGAACGACGAUAAAAGAAAAACAAACAAACGACAAUAAAAUAAAGACAACGAAACCUUCCCCGACCAUUUUUUUGGAGUUUUUGAAAUCGGCAACAGGAAAAGCAGCAGAAACCUAACGAAAACGUGGAUAAAAUGAAGACAUUAAAAAAUACACGGAUACAGCCAAAGGAAUUCAGCAUAAACCAAAAAAAGCUUUACCUGAACGCCCGAUUUCUUUUUGUUCGUCUUCGCCAAUUAAAAUGGAAAAUCCUUCACGCCAGAUGGUGUAGAAAUUAAAUCCAAAGAUAACAUAGCCAGCAGCCUAGGGUUUUAACUAGCCUAAAAAAUUGGUCAGAU
This 573-nucleotide long non-coding RNA is filed under the name Zostera marina. RNAcentral describes it as "long non-coding RNA (ZMAR_LNC003079)". Lineage: Eukaryota; Viridiplantae; Streptophyta; Magnoliopsida; Alismatales; Zosteraceae. The record is from RNAcentral.